CCUUCGCUGUGUAGCUAGUUAGCUACUCAGCACCUGUCCAUCCGGUCACUCGAAAGAGUGGCGGCCUUUGGGUGGUACAGUUGUCAUCGAUCCGACCUCUCGACCAUACAGGGGUCAUGGUGCAAAGAGGUGAGCGGGGUGACCAUCGUGCAUACGCUGCUAUCAUUAUAUCUGCUGAUGUUGUUGUUGCUACUUUUGCUGCUAUUGCUAGCUUAUGCUGCUGUUGUUUGCUUCUGCUGUUGGUAUUAGUUUAUGUGGCUGUUGCUCACUUAUAUUGCUAUGCGUGCUUAUGUUGAAAUAUGCUCUUGUUGUAGGUGUUUAGUCCUUGGUUUACUUAUUGGAAGUUUAUAUAUACCUUGUUUAUUUCCUCUGUAGUUAUGAGCAGUACUGUAGCAGAUUAGUACUACUUCUGAACUUCUAUAUCUAGCCUAGGAUAUGGUUUCAGGUAGCAGUAGAUGAUUGAGAAGUUGCUUGGAGAGUCCCGGCUGCCAGUCCCACGUCACACUCGAGGAUAACCCUUUUCGGUUUUACUUCUGUUUAGUGAUUGUCAUCGGUACAAGGGAGAUGUUGUCGGAUUUUUGUCUGGCAGGGACAACUCUAGGGCGUGACAGCACCUUAGAGAUAUAUGAAGGUGCCCUCUAGAGGAUAAAAAUUGAAGGUUGCAGGAUUUAUCAUCACCAAAGAUAAGGGGACAAAUAUUGCUUGUGGAGGCACCUCGAAGGGGGCUGAAGGCACCUUCCACAGCCUAUAUAUGCCCUGUUCGAGAAGCACACUACACACAACUUGCAUACGAGCUUCAACAACAUCUUCAUUGCUUCGACUAUGCUCUACUAUUGUAUUACAACUCCAAGGUAUUUGACCGUGACCUGUAGACUGACACCGACACAAAAUCCCAAUCAAACUCUACACUCUAAAAGUGUCGGUAAUAAUUUAAUAUUACUAUACAUUUUUAUACUUGUAAAAGGAAAGUGUAGACUGUUACAUUUUCCUAGUUCUUUGUACUUGUAUUCAAUUCCCUCUUCCAGCUAUUCUUGAUGAGGUUUAUAGUGGAUUACCUAUCGAUACAAUCUAA
Long non-coding RNA from Zingiber officinale, 1072 nucleotides. RefSeq lists it as uncharacterized. NCBI's taxonomy places the organism in Eukaryota, Viridiplantae, Streptophyta, Magnoliopsida, Zingiberales, Zingiberaceae. The transcript has 3 exons. The record is from RefSeq and is a predicted model, not a curated record.